UGGGGAAUAUUGCGCAAUGGGGGCAACCCUGACGCAGCAACGCCGCGUGCGGGACGACGGCCUUCGGGUUGUAAACCGCUUUCAGCAGGGAAGAUAGUGACGGUACCUGCACAAGAAGCCCCGGCUAACUACGUGCCAGCAGCCGCGGUAAUACGUAGGGGGCGAGCGUUAUCCGGAUUCAUUGGGCGUAAAGCGCGCGCAGGCGGCUGUUCAAGCGGAACCUCUAACCCCGGGGCUCAACCUCGGGCCGGGUUCCGAACUGGAGGGCUCGAGUGCGGUAGAGGCAGGCGGAAUUCCCGGUGUAGCGGUGGAAUGCGCAGAUAUCGGGAAGAACACCGAUGGCGAAGGCAGCCUGCUGGGCCGGCACUGACGCUGAGGCGCGAAAGCUAGGGGAGCGAACAGG
RNAcentral lists this ribosomal RNA (403 nucleotides) under Verrucomicrobiota bacterium. Its description in RNAcentral is "Verrucomicrobia bacterium partial 16S ribosomal RNA". It matches the Rfam family "Bacterial small subunit ribosomal RNA", at positions 355 to 776 of the family's 1533-position model. Lineage: Bacteria; Pseudomonadati; Verrucomicrobiota. The record is from RNAcentral.